UACGGAGGGUCCAAGCGUUGUCCGGAAUCAUUGGGUGUAAAGGGUGUGUAGGCGGGGGCGCAAGUCAGGGGUGAAAGCCCGCAGCUCAACUGCGGAAUCGCCUUUGAGACUGCGUCUCUUGAGUCCUGGAGAGGCCACUAGAAUUCGUGGUGUAGCGGUGAAAUGCGUAGAUAUCACGAGGAAUACCGGAGGCGUAGGCGGGUGGCUGGACAGGUACUGACGCUGAGGCACGAAAGCGUGGGGAGCGAACAGG
RNAcentral lists this ribosomal RNA (253 nucleotides) under uncultured Salisaeta sp. RNAcentral describes it as "partial 16S ribosomal RNA". It matches the Rfam family "Bacterial small subunit ribosomal RNA", at positions 524 to 776 of the family's 1533-position model. Lineage: Bacteria; Pseudomonadati; Rhodothermota; Rhodothermia; Rhodothermales; Salisaetaceae. The record is from RNAcentral.